This 253-nucleotide ribosomal RNA is filed under the name uncultured bacterium. Its description in RNAcentral is "partial 16S ribosomal RNA". It matches the Rfam family "Bacterial small subunit ribosomal RNA", at positions 524 to 776 of the family's 1533-position model. The record is from RNAcentral.
CACGUAGGGGGCAAGCGUUGUCCGGAAUUAUUGGGCGUAAAGGGCGCGCAGGCGGUCAUUUAAGUCUGAUGUGAAAGCCCACGGCUCAACCGUGGAGAGACAUUGGAAACUGGAUGACUUGAGUGUAGGAGAGGGAAGUGGAAUUCCACGUGUAGCGGUGAAAUGCGUAGAGAUGUGGAGGAACACCAGUGGCGAAGGCGACUUUCUGGCCUACAACUGACGCUGAGGCGCGAAAGCGUGGGUAGCGAACAGG